CUAAAAGAAGCUGACAGGUCUUUCAACAUUCCCUUCUAUUACCAUGCAUUCCAGAAUGCUCAGGUUAUUUUCAUUCUGAUGAAACUACAUCACACUUGAUCUAAGUUCUCCUUAUAAAAGAAUGAAACCAAACUAACUUUAGGUCCUAGGCUGCUUCUAUUGUUCUCUUGAGAUGUAUUUAAUCACCACGAGAGGUUUAACUUACUUUUAGGUCAACAGUAUGCAACAUGGCAUACAUUGCACAACAUAUGCCAAAACUACAAUUUUUUUUUUCAGGCCAACUUUCCCGUAAACGGAGGAUUACUCUGCUAUAGUGUUCACACAUCAGGGCAAGUUUAAGUUUCAAAGAAGUGGCUUCUGAGGCAUCUUCAUAUAAGUUCUGCUGGAUGGCACAGAUGGUGUUUGCCUGGGAGAAUGCAAAGCUGUAUUCAACUCCCUCCCAAUUCACUUCUUUGGCAAGUUGCUCUUGGGCAAUGGACAGACGCAUAACCUUAUGUAGCAAUCCAAACAUGAAGGUCACAUUAGCUUCCUGAAAAGUUUGACAAUUUCUCUCUUUAUAGUCUUAAAGA
Long non-coding RNA from Canis lupus familiaris (dog), 569 nucleotides. RefSeq lists it as uncharacterized. The transcript is spliced from 3 exons. NCBI's taxonomy places the organism in Eukaryota, Metazoa, Chordata, Mammalia, Carnivora, Canidae. The record is from RefSeq and is a predicted model, not a curated record.